CUCAGGAUGAACGCUAGCGGCAGGCCUAAUACAUGCAAGUCGAACGGUGAUAGCAAUAUCAUAGUGGCGCACGGGUGCGUAACACGUAUGCAACCUACCUAUUAUUGGGGGAUAGCCUUUGGAAACGGAGAUUAAUACCGCAUAAUACGAUUGACUGGCAUCGGUUGAUUGUUAAAGCUUCGGCGAUAAUAGAUGGGCAUGCGUCCAAUUAGUUAGUUGGUUAGGUAACGGCUGACCAAGACGAUGAUUGGUAGGGGAUCUGAGAGGAUAAUCCCCCACACUGGCACUGAGAUACGGGCCAGACUCCUACGGGAGGCAGCAGUAGGGAAUAUUGGGCAAUGGGCGGAAGCCUGACCCAGCCAUGCCGCGUGCAGGAAGAAGGCGUUAUGCGUUGUAAACUGCUUUUUUAUAGGAAGAAGGAUCCCUUGCGAGGGAAGGUGACGGUACUAUAAGAGUAAGCACCGGCUAACUCCGUGCCAGCAGCCGCGGUAAUACGGAGGGUGCAAGCGUUGUCCGGAUUUAUUGGGUUUAAAGGGUGCGUAGGCGGUUUAUUAAGUCAGUGGUGAAAGACGGUCGCUCAACGAUUGCAGUGCCAUUGAUACUGGUAGACUUGAGUGAGAUUGAGGUAGCUGGAAUGGAUAGUGUAGCGGUGAAAUGCAUAGAUAUUAUCCAG
RNAcentral lists this ribosomal RNA (673 nucleotides) under uncultured bacterium. RNAcentral describes it as "bacterial SSU rRNA". It matches the Rfam family "Bacterial small subunit ribosomal RNA", at positions 23 to 704 of the family's 1533-position model. The record is from RNAcentral.